This 1296-nucleotide ribosomal RNA is filed under the name metagenome. RNAcentral describes it as "bacterial LSU rRNA". It matches the Rfam family "Bacterial large subunit ribosomal RNA", at positions 1649 to 2925 of the family's 2925-position model. The record is from RNAcentral.
AAAACCGACUCAGGUGGUCAGGUAGAGAAUACCAAGGCGAUCGGGUGAACUGUGGUUAAGGAACUCGGCAAAUUGCCCCCGUAACUUCGGGAGAAGGGGGACCUCUGCUGGUGAUGGGCUUUACGUUCUGAGCUGGUGGGGGUCGCAGUGGCCAGGGGGAAGCGACUGUUUACUAAAAACACAGGUCCGUGCGAAGUCGUAAGACGAUGUAUACGGACUGACGCCUGCCCGGUGCCGGAACGUUAAGGGGACCGCUUAGCCAGCUUCGGUUGGCGAAGGUGAGAACUUAAGCGCCGGUAAACGGCGGUGGUAACUAUAACCAUCCUAAGGUAGCGAAAUUCCUUGUCGGGUAAGUUCCGACCUGCACGAAUGGCGUAACGACUUCCCCGCUGUCUCAACCACAGACCCGGCGAAAUUGCACUACGAGUAAAGAUGCUCGUUUCGCGCAGCAGGACGGAAAGACCCCGGGACCUUCACUACAGCUUGACAUUGGCGUUUGGAACGUCUUGUGUAGGAUAGGUGGGAGACUAGGAAGCUGUCACGCUAGUGAUGGUGGAGUCAUUGGUGAAAUACCACUCUGGUCGUUUUGAACGUCUAACUCUGGUCCGUGAUCCGGAUCGGGGACAGUGUCUGGUGGGUAGUUUAACUGGGGCGGUUGCCUCCUAAAGAGUAACGGAGGCGCCCAAAGGUUCCCUCAGCCUGGUUGGCAAUCAGGUGUUGAGUGUAAGUGCACAAGGGAGCUUGACUGUGAGACUGACAGGUCGAGCAGGAGCGAAAGCUGGGACUAGUGAUCCGGCAUCGGCGUGUGGAAGCGGUGUCGCUCAACGGCUAAAAGGUACCCCGGGGAUAACAGGCUGAUCUUCCCCAAGAGUCCAUAUCGACGGGAUGGUUUGGCACCUCGAUGUCGGCUCGUCGCAUCCUGGGGCUGGAGUAGGUCCCAAGGGUUGGGCUGUUCGCCCAUUAAAGCGGUACGCGAGCUGGGUUUAGAACGUCGCGAGACAGUUCGGUCCCUAUCCGCUGCGCGCGCAGGAGACUUGAAGGGGGCUGUCCCUAGUACGAGAGGACCGGGACGGACGAACCUCUGGUGUGCCAGUUGUACCGCCAGGUGCACGGCUGGUUGGCUACGUUCGGAAGGGAUAACCGCUGAAAGCAUCUAAGCGGGAAGCUCGCCUUGAGAUGAGGUCUCCCACCCCGUGAGGGGGUAAGGCUCCCGGUAGAUCACCGGGUUGAUAGGCCGGAGGUGGAAGCACGGUAACGUGUGGAGCUGACCGGUACUAAUAGGCCGAGGACUUGACC